This 490-nucleotide ribosomal RNA is filed under the name uncultured bacterium. Its description in RNAcentral is "partial 16S ribosomal RNA". It matches the Rfam family "Bacterial small subunit ribosomal RNA", at positions 30 to 507 of the family's 1533-position model. The record is from RNAcentral.
AUUGAACGCUGGCGGCAGGCUUAACACAUGCAAGUCGAGCGGUAGCACAGGGGAGCUUGCUCCCUGGGUGACGAGCGGCGGACGGGUGAGUAAUGUCUGGGAAACUGCCUGAUGGAGGGGGAUAACUACUGGAAACGGUAGCUAAUACCGCAUAACGUCGCAAGACCAAAGAGGGGGACCUUCGGGCCUCUUGCCAUCAGAUGUGCCCAGAUGGGAUUAGCUAGUAGGUGGGGUAAUGGCUCACCUAGGCGACGAUCCCUAGCUGGUCUGAGAGGAUGACCAGCCACACUGGAACUGAGACACGGUCCAGACUCCUACGGGAGGCAGCAGUGGGGAAUAUUGCACAAUGGGCGCAAGCCUGAUGCAGCCAUGCCGCGUGUGUGAAGAAGGCCUUCGGGUUGUAAAACACUUUCAGCGAGGAGGAAGGUGGUGAGCUUAAUACGUUCAUCAAUUGACGUUACUCGCAGAAGAAGCACCGGCUAACUCCGUG